This 771-nucleotide ribosomal RNA is filed under the name uncultured bacterium. RNAcentral's name for it is "bacterial SSU rRNA". It matches the Rfam family "Bacterial small subunit ribosomal RNA", at positions 8 to 796 of the family's 1533-position model. The record is from RNAcentral.
AGAGUUUGAUCCUGGCUCAGGACGAACGCUGGCGGCGUGCUUAACACAUGCAAGUCGAACGGAGAGGCCCUUCGGGGUACUCGAGUGGCGAACGGGUGAGUAACACGUGGGUGAUCUGCCCUGCACUUUGGGAUAAGCCUGGGAAACUGGGUCUAAUACCGAAUAUGACCAUGCGCCUCCUGGUGUGUGGUGGAAAGCUUUUGCAGUGUGGGAUGGGCCCGCGGCCUAUCAGCUUGUUGGUGGGGUAAUGGCCUACCAAGGCGACGACGGGUAGCCGGCCUGAGAGGGUGACCGGCCACACUGGGACUGAGAUACGGCCCAGACUCCUACGGGAGGCAGCAGUGGGGAAUAUUGCACAAUGGGCGCAAGCCUGAUGCAGCGACGCCGCGUGAGGGAUGACGGCCUUCGGGUUGUAAACCUCUUUCAGCACAGACGAAGCGCAAGUGACGGUAUGUGCAGAAGAAGGACCGGCCAACUACGUGCCAGCAGCCGCGGUAAUACGUAGGGUCCGAGCGUUGUCCGGAAUUACUGGGCGUAAAGAGCUCGUAGGUGGUUUGUCGCGUUGUUCGUGAAAACUCACAGCUUAACUGUGGGCGUGCGGGCGAUACGGGCAGACUUGAGUACUGCAGGGGAGACUGGAAUUCCUGGUGUAGCGGUGGAAUGCGCAGAUAUCAGGAGGAACACCGGUGGCGAAGGCGGGUCUCUGGGCAGUAACUGACGCUGAGGAGCGAAAGCGUGGGGAGCGAACAGGAUUAGAUACCCCGGUAGUCC